RNAcentral lists this ribosomal RNA (488 nucleotides) under Enterococcus casseliflavus. RNAcentral describes it as "bacterial SSU rRNA". It matches the Rfam family "Bacterial small subunit ribosomal RNA", at positions 53 to 513 of the family's 1533-position model. Lineage: Bacteria; Bacillati; Bacillota; Bacilli; Lactobacillales; Enterococcaceae. The record is from RNAcentral.
ACAUGCAAGUCGAACGCUUUUUCUUUCACCGGAGCUUGCUCCACCGAAAGAAAAAGAGUGGCGAACGGGUGAGUAACACGUGGGUAACCUGCCCAUCAGAAGGGGAUAACACUUGGAAACAGGUGCUAAUACCGUAUAACACUAUUUUCCGCAUGGAAGAAAGUUGAAAGGCGCUUUUGCGUCACUGAUGGAUGGACCCGCGGUGCAUUAGCUAGUUGGUGAGGUAACGGCUCACCAAGGCAACGAUGCAUAGCCGACCUGAGAGGGUGAUCGGCCACACUGGGACUGAGACACGGCCCAGACUCCUACGGGAGGCAGCAGUAGGGAAUCUUCGGCAAUGGACGAAAGUCUGACCGAGCAACGCCGCGUGAGUGAAGAAGGUUUUCGGAUCGUAAAACUCUGUUGUUAGAGAAGAACAAGGAUGAGAGUAAAAUGUUCAUCCCUUGACGGUAUCUAACCAGAAAGCCACGGCUAACUACGUGCCAGCA